Molecule: ribosomal RNA, 256 nt
Filed under: uncultured bacterium
Lineage: Bacteria
Description: partial 16S ribosomal RNA
Rfam family: Bacterial small subunit ribosomal RNA
Source: RNAcentral
CAAUAUAAGUGAUGGCGACCGGCGCACGGGUGAGUAACACGUAUCCAACCUGCCGAUAACUCGGGGAUAGCCUUUCGAAAGAAAGAUUAAUACCCGAUGGUAUAAUAAAACCGCAUGGUUUAAUUAUUAAAGAAUUUCGGUUAUCGAUGGGGGUGCGUUCCAUUAGGCAGUUGGUGAGGUAACGGCUCACCAAACCUUCGAUGGAUAGGGGUUCUGAGAGGAAGGUCCCCCACAUUGGAACUGAGACACGGUCCAA